GACGAACGCUGGCGGCGCGCCUAACACAUGCAAGUCGAACGAGAGAUGAGGAGCUUGCUCUUCAAAUCGAGUGGCGAACGGGUGAGUAACGCGUGAGGAACCCUGCCUCGAAAGAGGGGGACCAACAGUUGGAAACGACUGCUAAUACCGCAUAAGCCCACGGCUCGGCAUCGAGCAGAGGGAAAGGAGUGAUCCGGCUUUGAGAUGGCCUCGCGUCCGAUUAGCUAGUUGGUGAGGUAACGGCCCACCAAGGCGACGAUCGGUAGCCGGACUGAGAGGUUCGAACGGCCACAUUGGGACUGAGACACGGCCCAGACUCCUACGGAGGCAGCAGUGGGGAAUAUUGCACAAUGGGGGAAACCCUGAUGCAGCGACGCCGCGUGAGU
This 386-nucleotide ribosomal RNA is filed under the name uncultured bacterium. RNAcentral's name for it is "bacterial SSU rRNA". It matches the Rfam family "Bacterial small subunit ribosomal RNA", at positions 28 to 406 of the family's 1533-position model. The record is from RNAcentral.